AGAUUUGAUCUAGAGUAUUUGAAGAUCUAGAAAAUAAAUUUUGCGAUUUUUCGAUACCAUUUUCCUAGUGAUCGAAGCGGCUCAAAAUCAACGGCUGAAAAUAAAAAUCUUACAAAAUAUGAUGAUAUGACAUUAAAAUUUUAGAUCAAAGUUAUUGAUCUUGUUUUAUAUGGUAUAAAGAAUUUUCUAUCAAAAUUUUAUGUGAUUUGGAUAUUUCUACACGGUUAAACUUGCAACCGGCUCACCACGGCCGUUAAAAUUAUUGAUUUUGAGCCCCUUCGAUCACUAGGCAAAUGAUAUCGAAAAAUCACAAAAUUUAUUUUCUAGAUACUUCAAAUACUCUAGAUAAAGUCUAACGGAGCCGAUCGUCGAUUCGAAAGUCUGAACAUCGAAAACAAAGUGGAAGCACGGAGCCCUCCGUGCUUCCAUAAGCAUACCAGCACAACUCGGGUAAUUUGAUAUUUACUCUUCUUAUUAGUUAGAUAGAGUCCAGCUAUUGUGCUUGUAAAAGCACCAAGCACUUGGUGCUUGUAAGUUUUUUACCGUCAGAUCUACUCUUCGGAUCAUUUUCAACCAUUAGAUUAUACUAUUCAACCAACCACCCACUAAAUUCUAGGGGGCCCACAUCAUCUUAACCGCAUAUCUUUUAAUCCAAUGGCUAAAAAUCUAUAAGGACUAAUAACUUGGUACUUUUAAAAGCAUAUAUAGGAGCUCAAUUCUAGUUAGAUAUCAUAUCAAACAAUUAAUU
This 748-nucleotide long non-coding RNA is filed under the name Ananas comosus (pineapple). Its description in RNAcentral is "long non-coding RNA (ACOM_LNC032859)". The record is from RNAcentral. Lineage: Eukaryota; Viridiplantae; Streptophyta; Magnoliopsida; Poales; Bromeliaceae.